Molecule: ribosomal RNA, 301 nt
Filed under: uncultured bacterium
Lineage: Bacteria
Description: partial 16S ribosomal RNA
Rfam family: Bacterial small subunit ribosomal RNA
Source: RNAcentral
CAGUAGCCGCGGGAAUACGUAGGUGGCGAGCGUUGUCCGGAUUUAUUGGGCGUAAAGGGAGUGUAGGCGGUCUUUUAAGUCUGAUGUGAAAGCCCACGGCUCAACCGUGGAGGGUCAUUGGAAACUGGGAGACUUGAGUGCAGAAGAGGAGAGCGGAAUUCCAUGUGUAGCGGUGAAAUGCGUAGAUAUAUGGAGGAACACCAGUGGCGAAGGCGGCUCUCUGGUCUGUAACUGACGCUGAGGCUCGAAAGCGUGGGGAGCAAACAGGAUUAGAUACCCCCGUAGUCCCUGUCUCUUAUAC